GACGAACGCUGGCGGCGUGCUUAACACAUGCAAGUCGAACGGAAAGGCCCUGCUUUUGUGGGGUGCUCGAGUGGCGAACGGGUGAGUAACACGUGAGUAACCUGCCCUUGACUUUGGGAUAACUUCAGGAAACUGGGGCUAAUACCGGAUAGGAGCUCCUGCUGCAUGGUGGGGGUUGGAAAGUUUCGGCGGUUGGGGAUGGACGCGCGGCUUAUCAGCUGGUUGGUGGGGUAGUGGCUUACCAAGGCUUUGACGGGUAGCCGGCCGGAGAGGGUGACCGGCCAGAUUGGGACUGAGAGACGGCCCAGGCACCUACGGGAGGCAGCAGUGGGGAAAAGUGCACAAUGGGGGGAGGGCUGAGGCAGCAACGCCGCGGGAGGGAUGAGGGCCUUCGGGUUGAAAACCGCUUUCGGCUGAGACGAAGCGUGAGUGGCGGUAAGGGGAAAAGAAGCACCGGAAAACUAUG
This 466-nucleotide ribosomal RNA is filed under the name uncultured bacterium. RNAcentral's name for it is "partial 16S ribosomal RNA". It matches the Rfam family "Bacterial small subunit ribosomal RNA", at positions 28 to 505 of the family's 1533-position model. The record is from RNAcentral.